AAUAUCCGAACAAUAAAUUUGCCAGUAAACAAUACACGUGUUGGUAAAUAAAAAGGCUCAUUGUUACUCGUUAUGUGAUUUACGCCACUAUGAUACUAACUCAUUCAUACACUUGCUAUGAAUAACAAAGUAAUGGAGAAGUCCACUUUCAGUGCUUUCUUAUAAAUGUUUUGUAGAAUGCAGAAUAAAUUUUGAUGAAUUUAAUUGUUUCAAUAUGACGACAACGAAGCAUUACGUGCUAUUCUGAAGUUUGCGACGUAAUCGUUGUAAAUAUUAAUCUGGAACAAAAAAUAAUUUCCCUUUUCAUCUAUGUUAAGGGAUUUAGAAUUACGACUGUUUAAAUGAUCCUAGCUGAUCUUGUUGCGUGAAAACACGAUCCGUUCACGUUACAUUUAUGUAGCAGUCUGAACGUGCUACGCGAUAGUUGCUUGGCAAUAUGUAAAACAUUAUAAGGAAAAAUGCACACAGUUGAAGAUUUAUUCCGUACAUUUGGAACUGCAUUUUCAAAUAUUUUCAUAAUCUAUAUUUGGUACGUUCUGCACGGAGUUAUCCAUGUAAAAGGAGUAACUGACUGCGACAGUCAUCGGCUACUGAAAAGUUCAAGAUAAUUGAACCUACAACCAUGAAACAAAGAUUACAGUUCCUUUUUCUUUUCGUCUCCAUGAUUUUGUCGUCAGGAAUUUUUAUGACACCAGCAGUAGGACUUAUCUAUUACCGAGUAUUGUAAUUAAAGAAGAGCAGAAAUGCAUUCGGGGAGUAAGAAAGAAGAGGUUGUAUUGGAUGGCAAAGGUGCUACAUGAGUCUAAUUUUUGGAGGAUGUUAAAAGAACUAGAUUACUAGUGAACGUGUAAAAGAAUUUUCGGAAAAAUUUCAACUGCUUUGAAUAAAAAAACAAAAUAAUA
This is a long non-coding RNA of Megalopta genalis, 902 nucleotides long. RefSeq lists it as uncharacterized. Lineage: Eukaryota; Metazoa; Arthropoda; Insecta; Hymenoptera; Halictidae. The record is from RefSeq and is a predicted model, not a curated record.